Molecule: long non-coding RNA, 664 nt
Filed under: Capsella rubella
Lineage: Eukaryota; Viridiplantae; Streptophyta; Magnoliopsida; Brassicales; Brassicaceae
Description: long non-coding RNA (CRUB_LNC000910)
Source: RNAcentral
UUUCACUAAUAUUUAUUCAUAAAAUCGAUGUAAUAAAAAAAUAGAAACUAGUUAUUUUACAUACACGAUAAUUUAUUGGGAUAUUCUUUACCUAAAUACUAAAUACUCGAUUCGAUAUCACACAUAAUUCUAUCAUUACCAAGGAACUCUAUAAAUAACUUGUGAGUAGAAGAACCAAAAUGCAUAAAAUCUUAUUUGGCUUCUAUUAUGGUAAAGUAGAUUAGAUUAUUAUUUAUGCUAUUCUAUAAACUAAUUAUAUUUUUUUCUUACUUGUAGAUGUUCUCGGCAAAAGCGUUAUAUUGGAGACUGGGGAGAUGCAAAUGCCUGAGAUGAACAACAAGCCAAUAAAUAAGCUUAGUUCCGAAUUAAGAUAUUAAAAGUGAGUUCAAUAUACUUAAGUAUUUGUAAUCCGAUUUAUUUUCAUUUAAUGAUACUAAACUAAUUUAUACUUUUAUGUAUGGUAAUGAGAGACAGAGAAUGAUUGUCGUGUAUACCUUGCAGGUGCGUUUGCUUAAUUGGUUUUUUUUUCGGGUAGCUGAAUUAUGGUAAACUGUUUGAUCAAGUUAGGAACUUACUAACAAGGACAGAAGAACAAAACCAACCUCAAAACCAUCGACACUAUUCUUUCUUUUUCAUUAACCAUCGACACUAUUCUUCUGCAAAU